AUGAGGUCCUUCUGGACAGACUGGAGAGUGUUAAGCUUGCUCAAUGAAUGGGAGGUUUUUGUACGAGCAGUAAUUGGGUUUGUAUCACUGUGGUCCACUUUUGGUAGCGGCACCAGACUUGAUGUUGGAAGUAACAGUUCCCCUACCCUCACCGUCCUGCCCCCCUCUAGUGAGGAGAUGUCCAGUAAGACAACAGCCACACUGAUGUGUCUGGCCAACAAGGGCUUCCCCUCAGACUGGACCAUGAGCUGGAAAGUGGAUGGGACCAGCAAAAAGCAGGACACCAGUCCCAGGGUCCUGGAGAAGGACGGCCUGUACAGCUGGAGCAGCACCCUGACUCUCACUGCCCAGGAGUGGACCAAGGUGUUGUUGGUGAACUGUGAGGCCCACCAGAGCUCCAAGCCUCCCGUCACCAAGAUCCUGAGGAGGGCUGACUGUUCUGGGUAGGACUCAUCAGUCACACACCUGUGGAUAGAGGCUGCUGGUUCCUCUGCUUUGACCUGCUUUGCUUUAAAAUCAGUCGUUCUCUGAUUUAGUGAUCACUCUAGUGUAGACUAACAAGGGGGCUUGAGUUCAUGUGUCAAUCAAUUCUGUAGCUUGAGAUUUUGUUUGUUUUAGAUUUGAUGUGAUCUGAUUUUAUUCAUUAUCAUGGUUUGCUUUGAUGCUUCAAUUAUGUAAUAAUGGAUUAAAAUAAAUAUUUAUUUCUGGAAUGCA
Non-coding RNA from Oncorhynchus kisutch (coho salmon), 714 nucleotides. The record is from the annotation of a RefSeq genome assembly. Lineage: Eukaryota; Metazoa; Chordata; Actinopteri; Salmoniformes; Salmonidae.